Molecule: ribosomal RNA, 137 nt
Filed under: uncultured soil bacterium
Lineage: Bacteria
Description: partial 16S ribosomal RNA
Rfam family: Bacterial small subunit ribosomal RNA
Source: RNAcentral
AGAUUGAACGCUGGCGGCAUGCCUUACACAUGCAAGUCGAACGGCAGCACGGGAGCAAUCCUGGUGGCGAGUGGCGAACGGGUGAGUAAUAUAUCGGAACGUGCCCAGUCGUGGGGGAUAACGCAGCGAAAGCUGUG